GAUGAACGCUGGCGGCGUGCUUAACACAUGCAAGUCGAACGAAGCACUUUAUUUGAUUUCCUUCGGGACUGAUUAUUUUGUGACUGAGUGGCGGACGGGUGAGUAUCUCGUGGGUAACCUGCCUUGUACAGGGGGAUAACAGUUGGAAACGGCUGCUAAUCCCGCAUAAGCGCCCGGCAUCGCAUGAUGCAUUGUGAAAAACUCCGGUGGUUUAAGAUGGACCCGCGUUGGAUUAGCUAGUUGGUGCGGUAACGGCCCACCAAGGCGACGAUCCAUAGCCGAGAUGAGAGGGUGACCGGCCACAUUGGGACUGAGACACGGCGCAAACUACUACGGGAGGCAGCAGAGGGGAAUAUUGCACAAUGGGCGAAAGGAUGAUGCAGCGACGCCGCGUGAGCGAAGAAGUAGUUCGGGAAGUAAAGCUCGAUAAGCAGGGAAGAUAAUGACGGUACCUGACGAAGAAGCACCGGCUAAAUACGUG
This 481-nucleotide ribosomal RNA is filed under the name uncultured bacterium. Its description in RNAcentral is "partial 16S ribosomal RNA". It matches the Rfam family "Bacterial small subunit ribosomal RNA", at positions 28 to 507 of the family's 1533-position model. The record is from RNAcentral.